RNAcentral lists this small nuclear RNA (106 nucleotides) under Pelecanus crispus (Dalmatian pelican). Lineage: Eukaryota; Metazoa; Chordata; Aves; Pelecaniformes; Pelecanidae. The record is from RNAcentral.
GUCUCCUCUGGCAGCACAUAUCCUGUCCUUGGAACAGUACAGAGGAGAUAGGCAUGGCCCCUGCACAAGUGUGGUAUGGAUUAAUGAAGCAGCUGGCCUGGUUUUC